UGGGGAAUAUUGGACAAUGGGGGAAACCCUGAUCCAGCAAUGCCGCGUGAGUGAAGAAGGCCCUCGGGUUGUAAAGCUCUUUCAUUAAUGAAGAUAAUGACAGUAAUUAAAGAAGAAGCCCCGGCUAACUCCGUGCCAGCAGCCGCGGUAAUACGGAGGGGGCUAGCGUUGUUCGGAAUCACUGGGCGUAAAGCGUAUGUAGGCGGAUCAAAAAGUUAGAUGUGAAAUCCCUGGGCUUAACCCAGGAACUGCAUUUAAAACUAGAGAUCUAGAAUUUGGUAGAGGUUAGUAGAAUUUCCAGUGUAGAGGUGAAAUUCGUAGAUAUUGGAAAGAAUACCAGUGGCGAAGGCGACUAACUGGGCCAUUUUUGACGCUGAGAUACGAAAGCGUGGGUAGCAAACAGG
This 404-nucleotide ribosomal RNA is filed under the name uncultured bacterium. RNAcentral describes it as "bacterial SSU rRNA". It matches the Rfam family "Bacterial small subunit ribosomal RNA", at positions 355 to 776 of the family's 1533-position model. The record is from RNAcentral.